This 71-nucleotide transfer RNA is filed under the name Loxodonta africana (African savanna elephant). It matches the Rfam family "tRNA". Rfam says of the family: Transfer RNA (tRNA) molecules are approximately 80 nucleotides in length. Their secondary structure includes four short double-helical elements and three loops (D, anti-codon, and T loops). The record is from Rfam by way of RNAcentral. Lineage: Eukaryota; Metazoa; Chordata; Mammalia; Proboscidea; Elephantidae.
ACACUGGUGGUUCAGUGGUAGAAUUCUUGUCUUCCAUGCGGAAGACCCAGGUUCGAUUCUGGGCCAAUGCA